AAGUCGUAACAAGGUUUCCGUAGGUGAACCUGCGGAAGGAUCAUUAACGAGUAAACAGGGGAGUUGUAGCUGGCCGCAAGGCAUGUGCACACUCUCUACUCAAUCCAACCUUACACCUGUGCACCUAUUGUAGGUCGAGUGGCUGGACUUGUUCUGGUCGCUCUUCCUAUGUUUUACACAUACACUUGUAGUCUCAGAAUGUAAUCCGCGUAUAACGCAUUAUAAAACAACUUUCAACAACGGAUCUCUUGGCUCUC
This 257-nucleotide unclassified non-coding RNA is filed under the name Gloeophyllum sepiarium. RNAcentral's name for it is "partial internal transcribed spacer region". The stretch from base 1 to 46 matches the Rfam family "Eukaryotic small subunit ribosomal RNA", at positions 1786 to 1831 of the family's 1831-position model. The record is from RNAcentral. Lineage: Eukaryota; Fungi; Basidiomycota; Agaricomycetes; Gloeophyllales; Gloeophyllaceae.